Long non-coding RNA from Chenopodium quinoa (quinoa), 924 nucleotides. RefSeq lists it as uncharacterized. The record is from RefSeq and is a predicted model, not a curated record. The transcript has 2 exons. Lineage: Eukaryota; Viridiplantae; Streptophyta; Magnoliopsida; Caryophyllales; Amaranthaceae.
UAAAAACAAAGAGAUAAGACCUGAUGUCAACCUAACGGGUCUCUUAAAUCUAUUCUUGAUUGAAUUAUUACUUUUUUUUUUUUUAUUUGGUAUAGUACUUUUUCUUUUAAUAUUCUACUCUAAUAUUCUAUGAUUUGUCUCCUUAGUCCCUAUAAGACUCUUUCACCUGAUAUUUACUCAAGUCAUUCUCACUCUUCAAACCCUAACUCCAAAUUAAAAAUCUCAUCCUCGCUUUCAAACCAAUCCACCGCCGUCACUUCCUCUUCCUUAGCUUCUCACCUUGAUUUAAAACUCUGUAAACAUUCAAAUGGUAAUAAGAAAUGUACUUUGUAAACACUCAAAUGGUACGGAGUAAAAAUAAUCUAUUUCUCUCCCCUUAAAAAGGCACUCAUUCUACCCACCACCUAACUCGUCCGAGUCAUGCUGGAACUCGUACGACUCAGCCGUCGACUCGUUCAUACCAAACUUCAAGGUUCAAACCUCUUGUGGGUUCAAGGCUCAGUGGAUUUCUGAAGGUUGUUUGAACAUCUCAACUCAGACCGAGUUCGAAAAAUUCGUUCCUCAAUUUGCGUUAAACGACGCCGUUUUGAACUGUAAUCAAUCUCUUGCAAACGGGUCUCCUUGUGCUUCUUGUCUCACGAGUCUUACUACUCUGCAAGCUUUGUAUCUCAAAUCGAAGGACCCUUUUAAUGAUUUGCUUGAUUUCAUCUCACAAAAUUCUCAGACAACGAGAGAGAAUGGAGAACUUGAGCAAUUGUACUUGUUGAGCCUUAAUGUUGUAAUUGUAAUUGUAUAUUUUAGUAACAUCAAUAUUAUUUUUUGUUUAUUUUAAUUUGCAUUUUAUGUAGGUUGAUUUUUUUUUACCACAUUAACUUUACUUUAGCCCAUUAUUAUUAUUAUAGUGCACUUGAAGUGUAACUACAA